GGCGAUGUAGCUCAGACGGUUAGAGCGCACGACUCAUAAUCGUGAGGUCGAGGGUUCGAUCCCCUCCAUCGCUACCA
RNAcentral lists this transfer RNA (77 nucleotides) under Lawsonella clevelandensis. Its description in RNAcentral is "tRNA-Met". It matches the Rfam family "tRNA". From Rfam's summary of the family: Transfer RNA (tRNA) molecules are approximately 80 nucleotides in length. Lineage: Bacteria; Bacillati; Actinomycetota; Actinomycetes; Mycobacteriales; Lawsonellaceae. RNAcentral also lists the same sequence under 3 other names. The record is from RNAcentral.